AUUGAACGCUGGCGGCAUGCCUUACACAUGCAAGUCGAACGGUAACGGGCGUUCGGGUGCCGACGAGCGGUGAACGGGGGAGGAAUACAACGGAAUGUGUCCGAUCGCGGGGGGAAACGAGGCGAAUGCUUUGAUAAUACCGAAUACGAUCUACGGAUUAAAGCAGGGGAGUGCAAGGGUUUGAGCGGACGGAGCGGUCGCUGGCAGAUGAGGUUGGUGGUGGGGUAAAAGCUUGUCAAGCCGACGAUCUGUAGCUGGUCCUAGAGGAUGAUCAGCCACACUGGAACUGAGACACGGCCCAGACUCCUACGGGAGGCAGCAGUAGGGAAUUUUGGACAAUGGGCGCAAGCCUGAUCCAGCCAUGCCGCGUGCAGGAUGAAGGCCUUCGGGUUGUAAACUUCUUUUAUACGGAACGAAAAGCCUUCUUUUAAUACAGGAGCGUCAUGACGGUACCGUAAGAGAAAGCACCGGCUAACUACGUG
This 482-nucleotide ribosomal RNA is filed under the name uncultured bacterium. Its description in RNAcentral is "partial 16S ribosomal RNA". It matches the Rfam family "Bacterial small subunit ribosomal RNA", at positions 30 to 507 of the family's 1533-position model. The record is from RNAcentral.